CCUACGGGAGGCAGCAGUGAGGAAUAUUGGUCAAUGGACGAGAGUCUGAACCAGCCAAGUAGCGUGAAGGAUGACUGCCCUAUGGGUUGUAAACUUCUUUUAUAUGGGAAUAAAACGUUCCACGUGUGGGAUUUUGUAUGUACCAUAUGAAUAAGGAUCGGCUAACUCCGUGCCAGCAGCCGCGGUAAUACGGAGGAUCCGAGCGUUAUCCGGAUUUAUUGGGUUUAAAGGGAGCGUAGAUGGGUUGUUAAGUCAGUUGUGAAAGUUUGCGGCUCAACCGUAAAAUUGCAAUUGAUACUGGCAGUCUUGAGUACAGUUGAGGGAGGCGGAAUUCGUGGUGUAGCGGUGAAAUGCUUAGAUAUCACGAAGAACUCCGAUUGCGAAGGCAGCUUACUAAACUGCCACUGACAUUGAUGCUCGAAAGUGUGGGGAUCAAACAGGAUUAGAUACCCCGGUAGUC
RNAcentral lists this ribosomal RNA (460 nucleotides) under uncultured bacterium. RNAcentral describes it as "partial 16S ribosomal RNA". It matches the Rfam family "Bacterial small subunit ribosomal RNA", at positions 338 to 795 of the family's 1533-position model. The record is from RNAcentral.